Molecule: ribosomal RNA, 253 nt
Filed under: uncultured bacterium
Lineage: Bacteria
Description: partial 16S ribosomal RNA
Rfam family: Bacterial small subunit ribosomal RNA
Source: RNAcentral
UACGUAGGGGGCAAGCGUUGUCCGGAAUCAUUGGGCGUAAAGAGCGUGUAGGCGGCCAGAAAAGUCCGCUGUGAAAACUCGAGGCUCAACCUCGAGCUGUCGAUGGAAACCAUCUGGCUAGAGUCCGGAAGAGGAGAGUGGAAUUCCUGGUGUAGCGGUGAAAUGCGCAGAUAUCAGGAAGAACACCCGUGGCGAAGGCGGCUCUCUGGUACGUGACUGACGCUGAGACGCGAAAGCGUGGGGAGCGAACAGG